RNAcentral lists this ribosomal RNA (642 nucleotides) under Triticum aestivum (bread wheat). RNAcentral's name for it is "partial small subunit ribosomal RNA". The record is from RNAcentral. Lineage: Eukaryota; Viridiplantae; Streptophyta; Magnoliopsida; Poales; Poaceae.
AUGGGCUGCGCUUUCUUGUCGUCGUCGUCGCCACGGAAGCGUGAGCAGCGCGCUCAGGGAUACGAGGAGUCGGCCGUCCUUGCCGCCGAGACCUCCUUCACAGUGAACAAGGUGGAGGCGCUGUACGAGCUCUACAAGAAGCUCAGCUUCUCCAUCUUCAAGGACGGCCUCAUCCACAAGCAGGAGUUCCGGCUGGCCCUGUUCAGGACCAGCAAAGGCGCGAACCUAUUCGUGGACAGGGUGUUCGACCUCUUCGAUCUCAAGCGCAAUAGGGUCAUCGAGUUUGGCGAGUUCAUGCGCUCGCUCAGCAUCUUCCACCCCAAAGCGCCUGAAUCUAAAAAUACUGCGUUCGCAUUCAAGCUGUAUGAUCUAAGGGGGACAGGCUACAUCAAGAAAGAAGAGCUCAGGGAAAUGGUUGUGGCGCUUCUUGAUGAGUCCGUCCUAUGUCUCUCUGACAACACCGUCGAGGAGAUCAUCAAUGAUGUAUGUAAUCAGCAAGAUAUAUUCAGUCAUUGCGAACUAUUUUGGUGUUUUCCUUCUAACAUGUUAUGUUCUCUGCUGCUCUACUCCUUCUGGACUUUCAGACGUUCAGUCAAGAAGACUCAGAUGGAGGAAGAAGGUCACCACAGAGGUAGGGAGUAG